RNAcentral lists this transfer RNA (72 nucleotides) under Candidatus Falkowiibacteriota bacterium. Its description in RNAcentral is "tRNA-Arg". It matches the Rfam family "tRNA". From Rfam's summary of the family: Transfer RNA (tRNA) molecules are approximately 80 nucleotides in length. The record is from RNAcentral. Lineage: Bacteria; Candidatus Falkowiibacteriota.
GACUCCGUAGUUCAAUGGAUAGAACAAGAGCCUUCUAAGCUCUGGAUCCGGGUUCGAUUCCUGGCGGGGUCA